This 55-nucleotide non-coding RNA is filed under the name Tetraselmis sp. GSL018. Lineage: Eukaryota; Viridiplantae; Chlorophyta; Chlorodendrophyceae; Chlorodendrales; Chlorodendraceae. The record is from RNAcentral.
ACAUACGUGCGUUUUUUUUUCUUUUUCUUUUUCUUUUUUCUUUUUUUCUUUUUUU